UCUUUAUCCAUAGAUGGUAGAUCUUGGCAGGUAGUGAUUCUUUUUCUUUCUUUUUUUGUUUUUUUCCUAACUCUCAAGAUACUUGGUACCAUAUAGUAGAUCUUAGGCUAAAAUGUAAUAAGUACAAAUCAUGUCUCUUACUUUGGAGUCAGAGCUCUCUAUAUCUUUGAAGGAAAAAUAAAGUAAUGUGUAUUUAAUGUCAAGAUAAAACAUCUUAUUAGCACUACUAUAAAGUUCAUUCUUCACCCAUCCAUUUGGUCAGUAAAUAAAUAUUGGGUUUCUAUUAUGUGUCAGGCUCUAUGCAGGUGUGGUGAUACAAAGAUAAUCAAGACAUUGUUAUUGUUCUUAAGAACAUCUUUGACAAAUGGGAAAGUUAAGCGUGUGUAAAUACAGUGCAAUACAGUGCACCAAAAAUAGGGUACACAAGUUUUCUUGGCAUCACAUAUUACAGUUUACAUAUUUUGGUGAAAGGUUUCAGAUUGUUCUCAACUAAUAGGUUCAUCUAGGAAUUUCCCUAUGCAACCUCCAGUCUAAGAAAGAUGAUUUAUGAUCUUUUAAAUCCAUUAUUUCAGGACUUAGUGAAAGCCAGGCAGAUGUGGAGGUUUGGGUAUUAGGUCUGUGGUAUUGGGUGCAUGUUACACAGUGGAUGUUCUUAUUCCUGCUCAUGCCUGUGGUGAUCAGUUACCAGCCUUAUGUUGACACUGGCUGGAGUUCUGUGUCUGUGGCCCUUAGGCAACCCUGACUUGGUUAGCCUUAUUUUCAGGGUUUCAGAUGAUCACAAACAUAAUUAUCUGCCAUUGCAGAGGCUGUUACCAUAUCUAGAAAUGCCUGCAUUCCUCCACCAUGAAGUCUGUAGCUCUCAUGUUCUUGCCACCAUGUACUUAGGGUGAUCAUUUCCCCCUGCACCUGCCAUCCUUGUUCUGCCUACAGCUAGUUUUCACUCUGAGCAAGAACUUGUCAUUGAGAGACCUCUAGAAGUGGCUGAGACUUUAGAGAUGUGCCGACCUAUUGGUGGGGUUAACCUUUUGUGUUUCAGAGAAAAGCAGCAUCAACCAAAAUGGGGAGUCCUCUGAGCCAUUAUGGUGGGGCUUUUCAAAAUUGAGCCACCUAAUUGCAUGGAGGCAGAAACCAUGUUUGCUGGCUCGUUCAUCUAAGAGGUUAAAUUUUGACAAAAUGUUUUCACUUUACGUGCUCAGUAAUAAGAAUGAUCAGGUUGGAUCUGAUUUUUAAAUUGUGUGAAGAAGACCCCUUAAGAAAACUCUGACCAUACCUCAAGCCUAGUAGGUCAUCUGUUCUCCAUUUUUAAUAAAAUCCAUUACCAAAUAGAGGUGAACAAGGGAUGGCAUCUUCAAUAAAUGGUCUGAUGCUGUGCAAACACUUACGUUCCAGAGAAAAGUAAAGAAAAUGACCAUUUAUUUUGUUCAGUAGAGAUAUGCUUUAACUCAUCUGACUUUAUUUCUUCUCACCAUUAGAAAUUAUAAGCCUGGAAUGUUUGGGAGAAUCAGGGAUAAGUCGGAAAUGUUUGGGAGAAUCAGGGAUUGUGCAUUGAAAUUGAGCUGAUUCGAUUCACAUCCUUCAAUGCUGACUAAAAAAAUACACACUUUGAGGUAUAUGAAGACUGAUGAUUGUUUUGGGGAAAAUAAAAAAAAA
Molecule: long non-coding RNA, 1650 nt
Filed under: Macaca fascicularis (crab-eating macaque)
Lineage: Eukaryota; Metazoa; Chordata; Mammalia; Primates; Cercopithecidae
Description: lncRNA (ENSMFAG00000047647.1)
Source: RNAcentral